Long non-coding RNA from Gasterosteus aculeatus aculeatus (three-spined stickleback), 2401 nucleotides. The record is from Ensembl. NCBI's taxonomy places the organism in Eukaryota, Metazoa, Chordata, Actinopteri, Perciformes, Gasterosteidae.
AGGAAGAGGAGGAGGCUCCAUGUCGAUAAAUACCUACUUUCCACCGACCACUUUUCCCACCCGGUGUCGCUCCGAUCUGCCGGCGCAUCGCGGAGAAAACCAAUCGGGUGUCUGGAUGCUAAAUGUUUAAACUUCUCAUCCAAACACAAUCACAUUCACUCUGUCCGCAUAGCGCCAUUUAUCUGGAGAAGCCGGAAGUAACGAGACUGUUUUUAAAAUGUAAGGAGUAGAAAGUACAGAUAUUUGUGUGAAAAUGUAAGGAGUAGAGUAAAAAGUCGUCUGAAAAAUAAACACUCCAGUAAAGUUACUACUUAAGUACAGUAACGAAGUAUUUGUACUUCGUUAGUUGACACCUCUGCCUAAAAUACUUUGAGAUUUGGGGCCAGCACUUUCCCGCCCUACGCUGCGCCUCGUCAGAGUCUCGCGACGCGCCCAUUUAGCGCCAUGACAACGGCGAGCAGUGUCCCUCCGACGGGACCAGACCCUGACAUUCUCUCCUCAAACAGCCGUUUGACGGAAUAACUUUCGCGGAGAAACUCGAGGUGAAAGAGCUGGACCGGGAUCAGCCGGACCUCACGAUCAGACAACGGACCGGUGUGAAAGGGAAGCCGAGGCUUCUGUAGAGACUUCUACGCCGAGAGGUUAAGCUAGCUGGUUAGCUAUGUGCUAACGGCGCCGGUCCGCAUGACGUCACCGUGCUAAAGUUUACAUCGCUGCCCAGCUGCGACGCACACAGGACCGCGGGAUGUUUACUGAAACUGAUUGGCUGGCAAAAAGAAAACCCACCAGCCGCCACUGAUACACAUAAAUAUACGUAAGUACAGUAUAUGUAUGAAGAAGGCCGUCGAGGCACCGGAGGGGGGUGUGGUAACUGACAGUCGCUGGAGGGAGGCCUUGUUCUGGGUGCAAACUGGACAAGCGGCCACAAACCCCUCCGUGUCCCUCUCAAGUGAUGGCCACCAGAAGCGCUGCCUGAAGAAGCAGACCAUCCGCCUGACCUCUGGCCGACAUCGGAUUUAAGGGGCAUGUAUCAAGGGCAUCCUUUUUUAAAUUGGUAUAACCUAUUUAAUAAAGAAUAGUUGAUAGCUUAAGUAAUUAAGUAAAGUAAGUAAAGUCAUUUAAGAACCUUUUAGGCUGUCUUGUGGCUGGCGUUUUUUUUAACACUAUAUAGAUAUUAGGCUGUAAAGCCAUUGUAUUAUUGUUUGAUUAAACAUUAGUGUUUUUGAAUCGCUCUUAGUCUCGACUCUCCCCUGAGACCUGUUGUCCAUCGCACAAGGUGCUUGUGCCACAGACAACACAGAUCACAGGAUCACUGAGCCACUCAAACUCCUCCACCACGUUAAGGUGGCGAUUCGUGGAGGAGAUUUUUUUCUUUUAUGUGGGAAACCCAUAGAUGGAGGGAAAACCCACAGUUGAACCCAAAGAUUUUUUUUUUUUAAAUUGGGGGAAAAAUAAAUAAAUAAAAAUUUAAAUAAAAAAAUAAAAUAAAAUAUAACUAUUUAAAAUGAAAAAAAAAUAAAAUGAAAUAUAACUUUUUAAAAUAAAAAAUAAAAUAAAAUAUAACUUUUUAAAAUAAAAAUAUAUAUAUAACUUUUUAAAAUAAAAAAUAAAAUAAAAUAUAACUUUUUUAAAUAAAAUAUAACUUUUUAAAAUAAAAAAAUAAAAUAAAAUAUAACUUUUUUAAAUAACAAAUAAUAAAAUAAAUAAAAUAAAAUAUAACUUUUUAAAAUAACAAAUAAUAAAAUAAAUAAAAUAAAAUAUAACUUUUUUUAAAUAACAAAUAAUAAAAUAAAUAAAAUAAAAUAUAACUUUUUUAAAUAACAAAUAAUAAAAUAAAUAAAAUAAAAUAUAACUUUUUGGCAUUUGAGGACCCAACUCCUCAUUCAAUCUGUAAUCAUGAAAAUGGGUAUAUUUUAUUCCCAGUGCUCCAGUAAGUGUUCUUUUCCAACUUCAUUGACUGGAAAGUAGCGGAGCACAGCGCCUGAGGAAUGAGGAAUCUUUUUCAUCUCAUCCAUUUCUUUCUUUGGCGAAAUGCAAGGCCGCAAAUGAAGAUGAGGGGAUUUCUGUAUCUGCGCAUAUACCCUGAACCCGGUCAUUUGGCCAAUGUUCGGAUAACCUCACACAGCCGGUUUGACAAAUCAAUAGUAACAACUUGUGAAGGUAGGCCGAUAGUUUCAUUCGCCUGCCGUUGGAAAUUGGGAUCUCAGUUAUGCAUUAGGCAAGGUAGACACACAUGUCCCCCUCUAUACUUUGUAUUAAAGGCAUGGCUAGGCGUAAAAAAUAGCAUCUGUUAAAUUAUAUUUAUGAUAUUUCAAUAAGAUAUUAUGUUAUAUAUUAAAAUAUAGUGCUAUAUUUAUGAUAUUAGUUCUAUAUUAUUAGACAUAUGGAAUAUGAUGCUAUU